AGAGUUUGAUCCUGGCUCAGGAUGAACGCUAGCGGCAGGCUUAACACAUGCAAGUCGAGGGGUAUAGUUCUUCGGAACUAGAGACCGGCGCACGGGUGCGUAACGCGUAUGCAAUCUACCUUUUACAGAGGGAUAGCCCAGAGAAAUUUGGAUUAAUACCUCAUAGUAUGUGAGAAUCGCAUGAUUUUCACAUUAAAGUUCCAACGGUAAAAGAUGAGCAUGCGUCCCAUUAGCUAGAUGGUAAGGUAACGGCUUACCAUGGCGACGAUGGGUAGGGGUCCUGAGAGGGAGAUCCCCCACACUGGUACUGAGACACGGACCAGACUCCUACGGGAGGCAGCAGUGAGGAAUAUUGGACAAUGGGCGCAAGCCUGAUCCAGCCAUGCCGCGUGCAGGAUGACGGUCCUAUGGAUUGUAAACUGCUUUUGUACAGGAAGAAACACUCCCUCGUGAGGGAGCUUGACGGUACUGUAAGAAUAAGGAUCGGCUAACUCCGUGCCAGCAGCCGCGGUAAUACGGAGGAUCCAAGCGUUAUCCGGAAUCAUUGGGUUUAAAGGGUCCGUAGGCGGUUUAAUAAGUCAGUGGUGAAAGCCCAUCGCUCAACGGUGGAACGGCCAUUGAUACUGUUAAACUUGAAUUAUUAGGAAGUAACUAGAAUAUGUAGUGUAGCGGUGAAAUGCUUAGAGAUUACAUGGAAUACCAAUUGCGAAGGCAGGUUACUACUAAUGGAUUGACGCUGAUGGACGAAAGCGUGGGUAGCGAACAGGAUUAGAUACCCUGGUAGUCCACGCCGUAAACGAUGGAUACUAGCUGUUGGGGGCAACUUCAGUGGCUAAGCGAAAGUGAUAAUAUCCCACCCUGGGAAUGACUUCG
Molecule: ribosomal RNA, 873 nt
Filed under: uncultured bacterium
Lineage: Bacteria
Description: bacterial SSU rRNA
Rfam family: Bacterial small subunit ribosomal RNA
Source: RNAcentral